This 245-nucleotide ribosomal RNA is filed under the name uncultured archaeon. RNAcentral's name for it is "partial 16S ribosomal RNA". It matches the Rfam family "Archaeal small subunit ribosomal RNA", at positions 474 to 718 of the family's 1478-position model. The record is from RNAcentral.
CCCCAGCGCCACAAGUGGGAGCCACAAUUAUUUGGCCUAAAGCGUCCGUAGCUGGUUAUGUAAAUCUUUUGUGAAAUCGGAAGGCUCAACUUUCCGGCGUGCAGAAGACACUGCAUAGCUCGAGAUUGGGAGGGGUAAGGAGUAUUCCUAGGGAACCGGUAAAAUGGGAUAAUCCUAGGAGGACUACCUGUGGCGAAGGCGCCUUACCAGAACAAGUCUGACAGUGAGGGACGAAGGCUAGGGGA